Molecule: ribosomal RNA, 253 nt
Filed under: uncultured bacterium
Lineage: Bacteria
Description: partial 16S ribosomal RNA
Rfam family: Bacterial small subunit ribosomal RNA
Source: RNAcentral
UACGAAGGGGGCUAGCGUUGCUCGGAAUCACUGGGCGUAAAGCGCACGUAGGCGGAUUGCUAAGUCAGGGGUGAAAUCCUGGAGCUCAACUCCAGAACUGCCCUUGAUACUGGCGGUCUCGAGUCCGGGAGAGGUGAGUGGAACUGCGAGUGUAGAGGUGAAAUUCGUAGAUAUUAGGAAGAACACCAGUGGCGAAGGCGGCUCACUGGCCCGGAACUGACGCUGAGGUACGAAAGCGUGGGGAGCAAACAGG